UUUCAAAGCUCCACGGUUACCGUGGCGCGUUGUAGACUGAAGGGGCGCUAUCUUUUUGCAUGGCCCGGGUAUAGAUCCGUUGGAACGCGGUAUCAUAGAGGGUGAGAAUCCCGUCCAUGACUCGGGGACAAUUCCAUGCAUGUACGUUGCGCUUCCAAAGAGUCGGGUUGUUUGGGAAUGCAGCCCAAAAUGGGUGGUAAACUUCAUCUAAGGCUAAAUAUUGGCACGAGACCGAUAGCGAACAAGUACCGUGAGGGAAAGAUGAAAAGCACUUUGAAAAGAGAGUCAAAAAGUACGUGAAACCGUUAAGUGGGAAACGAAUGGGGCUAGCAUUUGUAUCUUGGCCACAAUCAGUCGGACCAUUCGGGACCGGCGUGGCGUUGGGAGCCUUUCGUGUGCGCCGUCAAAAAGCGUAUUAGCGAGGGGCCUCAUGCUGCGACGUGAAUUCUCGGAUGAGCUCGGUGCACUUGUGGUCGGUAUCAGGCCAACAUCAGUUCGGUUGCCAAAGGCGGAGGUUUCGGCCUCCCGUCUUGUUGGACAGGAACCUUUAGGGGAAGGUGGUCACGCCAGGUUCUUCGUCUUCGGGCGAAAGCUUGACGUGACGUUAUAGCCCCUUUAGGGAACACCAAGGAGUCGCGGCCCGGACUGAGGAGAUAAAGCAGCACGCUUACUUUGCAGAGUUUCCGCUGGGACGCCGAGCGGUUCGGGACUGUGCCAAAAAAGUGCAGUGUCGGGCGCUUUUUGUGCGUUUCACUCAUACGAGCCACGGAAAUCUACGCGUUACUCGUGCUUGUGAUGUUGGCGAAAUGGCCUUAUCCGACCCGUCUUGAAACACGGACCAAGGAGUCUAACAUAUACGCGAGUCUUUGGGUAUGAAAGCCCGCGGGCGUAAUGAAAGUAAAGGUACACCUUGUCGUGUGCUUGAGGUGAGAAGUUUUUCCUCUUUUGGAAGGACCGCAUCAUCGACCGAUCCGGAUUGGGCAUUGGGGUUCGCCUCUUUGUUUUUAUGAAAGAUUUGAGUAAGAGCGUAUCUGUUAGGACCCGAAAGAUGGUGAACUAUGCCUGAACAGGGUGAAGUCUGAGGAAACUCAGAUGGAAGCUCGCAGCGAUUCUGACGUGCAAAUCGAUCGUCUGAUUUGGGUAUAGGGGCGAAAGACUAAUCGAACCAUCUAGUAGCUGGUUCCCUCCGAAGUUUCCCUCAGGAUAGCUGGAACUCGACAAGCAGUUUUAUCAGGUAAAGCGAAUGAUUAGAGGCCUUGGGGUCGAAAUGACCUCAACCUAUUCUCAAACUUUAAAUGGGUAAGAAGUUCGGCUUGCUUAAGUGAAGUCGGACAUUUUAUUGAAUGCAAGAGUUUCAAGUGGGCCAUUUUUGGUAAGCAGAACUGGCGAUGCGGGAUGAACCGAACGUGAAGUUAAAGUGCCAAAGUUCACGCUCACCUAGAACCCAGAAAAGGUGUUGGCUGAUGAAGACAGCAGGACGGUGGCCAUGGAAGUCGGAAUCCGCCAAGGAGUGUGUAACAACUCACCUGCCGAAUCAGCCAGCCCUGAAAAUGGAUGGCGCUCAAGCGUGACACUUAUACUUCGCCGUUGUCGCAAAAGAAACAUGACACAUAUUCUUGCGCCACAACGAGUAGGAGGGCGUGGAGGUAGUGAAGCAGCUUAAGGCGUGAGCCUGAGUGAAACUUCC
RNAcentral lists this ribosomal RNA (1687 nucleotides) under Enterobryus sp. MA-11-C1. Its description in RNAcentral is "eukaryotic LSU rRNA". It matches the Rfam family "Eukaryotic large subunit ribosomal RNA", at positions 114 to 1437 of the family's 3401-position model. The record is from RNAcentral. Lineage: Eukaryota; Ichthyosporea; Ichthyophonida; Eccrinaceae.